This 63-nucleotide transfer RNA is filed under the name uncultured Prevotella sp. It matches the Rfam family "tRNA", at positions 6 to 65 of the family's 71-position model. Rfam says of the family: Transfer RNA (tRNA) molecules are approximately 80 nucleotides in length. Their secondary structure includes four short double-helical elements and three loops (D, anti-codon, and T loops). The record is from RNAcentral. Lineage: Bacteria; Pseudomonadati; Bacteroidota; Bacteroidia; Bacteroidales; Prevotellaceae.
CGUAGUUCAGUUGGUUAGAGCGUCAGAUUGUGGUUCUGAAUGUCGUGGGUUCGAAUCCCACCG